Branchiostoma belcheri (Belcher's lancelet) is the source of this 412-nucleotide long non-coding RNA. RefSeq lists it as uncharacterized. The transcript is spliced from 2 exons. The record is from RefSeq and is a predicted model, not a curated record. NCBI's taxonomy places the organism in Eukaryota, Metazoa, Chordata, Leptocardii, Amphioxiformes, Branchiostomatidae.
UUCCAUAUUGUAUGAUUCCAGGUGCAGCACCCGUCCUUCACUCCUGGGUGAAGCAGAAACCAGAGAGACCAGCUCCAAAGAAGAGAUGUUCUCCCACCAAGAAAAAGAAAGGAGCUUGUGGACUUAACAAAAUUGAUGAACCUGAGGACUCCUCCGCUUGUUGUUCGGAUCCUGGUCUCGACACCAACAUGGCUAUACUUCAACCUGACCUGGCAACAUCCCCAUCACCGACUGCACUGCCAUCACAGACCACAUCUUCACCAUGCUUACCUGACAAACUUUUAACCACCACUUGUACAGAACUACUGAAACUGUCAUGUUUAUUGAAGUGGCAUUGUAUUUACAUGUGUCUGAAGGUUACAAGAACAUGUACAUGUUUUUUCACAAAUAAAAAAAAAUGAUGAGAAGCAAC